Molecule: ribosomal RNA, 301 nt
Filed under: uncultured bacterium
Lineage: Bacteria
Description: partial 16S ribosomal RNA
Rfam family: Bacterial small subunit ribosomal RNA
Source: RNAcentral
CAGCCGCCACGGUAAAACGGAGGAUCCGAGCGUUAUCCGGAAUUAUUGGGUUUAAAGGGUGCGUAGGCGGAUAGAUAAGUCAGUGGUGAAAGACGGUGGCUCAACCAUCGCAGUGCCGUUGAUACUGUUUAUCUUGAAUAUGGAUGAGGUAGGCGGAAUGUGGCAAGUAGCGGUGAAAUGCAUAGAUAUGCCACAGAACACCGAUUGCGAAGGCAGCUUACCAAGGCAAAAUUGACGCUGAGGCACGAAAGCGUGGGGAUCGAACAGGAUUAGAUACCCCUGUAGUCCCUGUCUCUUAUAC